UGUCUUUGUGUGUGUAUCUAGAUGUCUGUCUUUGUGUGAUUGUUUGUGUGUUUCUCUUUGUAUGUGUGUGUAUGUGUGUGUGUGUAUGUUUGUGUAUGGGUGUAUGUGUGUGUGUCUAGGUGAGUGUGUGUUUGUGUGUUUGUGUGUGUGUGUGUGGGUCUUUGUGUAUGUGUGUGUUUGUAUUUGUGUGUGUGUAUGUCUCUAUGUGUGUAUGUGUGUCGGUGUGUGUGGGUGGAUGUGUGUGUAUGUGUAUGUGUCUGUGUGUCUUUGUGUAUCUGUGUGUCUUUAUGUGUGUGUGUGUGUGUGUUUGUGCUUGUGUGUGUGUGUGUGUGUUUAUGGGUGUAUGUUUGCGUGUAGGUUUGUGUGUGUGUGGG
This 374-nucleotide long non-coding RNA is filed under the name Vigna radiata. RNAcentral's name for it is "long non-coding RNA (VRAD_LNC012744)". Lineage: Eukaryota; Viridiplantae; Streptophyta; Magnoliopsida; Fabales; Fabaceae. The record is from RNAcentral.